UUCAGUAUCUGAUGUGACGAUCCUUCACUUUAAGAAAAAAACAGUAUCUGAGGUGCAGUGUGUGCAGUUUUAUAAGGAAAUGAGCUGGAAGUGUUACUGAGCAUCUUGCAGAAGCAGCCACAGUUCUUCUGGAGACUUUGACUGUCGACUCGCUUCUUAUUUCUGCAGCGAAACCCAGCAGCCUUCAUUAUGUUUUUAUCUGAAAAGUGUCUCUUAUGGAAUCUGCUGCUUUCUUUACUGACAUACAAACAUUUUUCUGUAACGUUUCAUUUUGUGCUGGAAAACUAAUGUUUGGAAUCUAAAAUGUUUUUGUACUGAAUCAAUAAUGUAGAAGUCAGAAAAUAAACAUCUAUAACAAAGUUUGUACUAAAAAAAAAAAUAGGGUGUCUAAGACUUCUGCACAGUACUGUAUAUAUUUACCUCUAAAUAUUAUUUAUAAUAUUUUUUUAAUCUAAUAUUCAAUACACACAGUUGCUGUUGUUCACAUAAAAUAUCGUCACUACCUCUCAGGGGUACGCUGCUUGGAAGAUUUUCUGCGGCAGCAUAAAGGCUCCCAGGAAAAAGGUUAAUAUUUGUGUUUAAAGACUGACAAACAUCAUGGUUAAAUUUAGCUAACUAAUAGGCUUUUUUCCAGGCAGUGUAGCCUGCUAGAAUUACUAGUGUAGGCAAAGUCAUAUUAGCCAGUGAAAUCUUUGUGUAAGGGCUAACACUAUAUAAAAAUGUACUUUUAAAUAAACAUAAAGUUGAGAAUCUAGAAAGCAACUGAGUAAAUAAAUGAUAUUUCAUGGUGAAUUAUGAAGUGCAAGACUUAUUGGAUUAAAUGCAGUGUAUUUAUGCAAUGCUUUGAUAAAAUUAUAAGGCAUGAAAAAAUAUUUGUCAGGCUUUGAGAAGAUUAGCAGCGACGUACUGUAUGCAGGGUGAAGUUAAACCCUGGGGUUUUAUUUACAUAAAGGCAGAAGCAAACAAUCCAAAAAGGCAAGCAAAAGCAGCAUCCAAAAAUAAAAUCCAAAGUCCAUGAGGCAAAUAAGGUAACAAAUGACUAGCAGUAAAUGCAAAACAGGAGGAAAAAAAAAACAAACAAAGAAAAAGACAAACUAAUGUAAAUAGAGGAGUAAAUGAGGGGUUAAUACGGGACUGGUGAGGACCUUCAGACUGCCUGAGCGAAUGCAGUUGAAUGAACCAGGGGAACAGGUGCUGGAGGGUGUAAAUUCAGAACAGUAUGCUGACGCUCCUGCUGUAACGUACCUACCAGUAAUAAACCGGAGGGUUGAAUCUGAUGUCUUUCAGCAAGAGGCAUCACAAGUCUUUACUGCACGCCACACACAGGAGUCCUGUAAAACCUCCAGAUGGUCCUUUAGAGAUGGGCAACAUCUUUUAAGAGCAAAGAUUCCCCCGAGCUAUGUAAAGAGGAAAAGAUGAAGAAGGAGAAAGAGAGAAUGGACAGUGAAAAGGUGCUCCCCACUCCUCUCUAUUUUUCUCUCUCGUCUUGUGCAGUGCUGUGACGCAGGUUUUUGGAUGGAUUUGUCAAUGCGAAGUAGGCGGAUAUCCCACGCCUUGCACUUUAUGAAUUUCUGUCUCCUAGCAACCAUAAGAACCCUUGUGCAUAUGUGGUGUGUGUGUGUGUGUGUGUGUGUGUCGGUGCAGGAGAAAAGGACUGACGAAUUAAGCAUGUCUGGAGGUGCAGAAAUAUUCCUCUUAGCAGGAGGAAUCCCAUCCAAAACUCCACAACUCCCAGACUCCUUCACUGUUGCCAUGGCAGCAGAGGGAUAUAUACACACAUGGCACAGAUUUCUGCAGCCAUUGCAGGGUGUAAGUGCCUCCCACAGGCCUGAAGGGCCACAAGUUUUCUCCUCUUCCUCGAUCGCUGCAGGCAACGGAGGAGUGGGCCACUACAUGAAGAAAAAGAACAGGUUGAGCCACAUAAAGCAUCUCGAUUGUGGAACUGAUGAGAAAAGAUUUCUCUGGAGGAGGUCUGAGGUUUACCUCAUGGAGGACAUCAAGUGCUGUGCUGCAUGUUUUGCAUCUACUCCUCUCUACUACAUCUACUCAAAUUGCACUGGGCUGCUUGGUGAGAGCAACCAUGGCACCAAUACUGAUGGUUACUCCUGAUCCAGGUCUCUUUCUGCUCCUUUGUCAGGCUCUAUAAUUUAACACAUUGGUUCAGGAAGUGCUUAGUACUAUCAAAGAAAGAACAGGUUUGGGCUUCUUUUUCAUAUGCUAAAAGGCUGACAAAUGCUAGUCAGCUCCAGGAAUGGUCAUUGUUUUAGAGGACUGGGACAUUUGGCCAAAUCCUAGGUAGGCUUUUGACUUGGUGGUGUCCAUCUGUGAACGUUGACCAAUCCUCCUGAAUUUGUACCUCCAACAAUUCUGUAAAGCCCAUGACUGUUGGAAUGGGAGUUUGUUAUGGGUUCACAUGCCAUUGGAAGUGAGCUAUCCAACAUGCCCACAAGUGACUGGAUUGACAUCAUAUCAGUUUUCUGCUUUAGAGCAAAGUCAUCAGGUUGCUCAUAUUGUGAGGGCCUCCACUGUACCUGUGUAUGGGUCCCUGCUGUUGCUUUGUAGUUUCUCAGUAACAUGAUAGGCUGCUUUUUUGUCUUAACUUUAAGAGAGAUUAAAAAAGGGAAGCAGAUGAGGGAAUGGCUCUUUAUAGUACUACUAUAACGUAAAUGAUAACAGCAACCAAUUCAUUUUGCAGAAGUUCUACAAAAUUAAAUGCAGAAAGAAUAAAACACACUUACUUGUGUAAAAGUGCUUCUACUGUUGUAAUGAUUACUAUUACUAUCUUAAGUACUAAGA
Long non-coding RNA from Pangasianodon hypophthalmus (striped catfish), 2796 nucleotides. RefSeq lists it as uncharacterized. The record is from RefSeq and is a predicted model, not a curated record. The transcript has 6 exons. NCBI's taxonomy places the organism in Eukaryota, Metazoa, Chordata, Actinopteri, Siluriformes, Pangasiidae.